GGGGCUGAUUCUGGAUUCGACGGGAUUUGCGAAACCCAAGGUGCAUGCCGAGGGGCGGUUGGCCUCGUAAAAAGCCGCAAAAAAAUAGUCGCAAACGACGAAAUCUACGCUUUAGCAGCUUAAUAACCUGCUUAGAGCCCUCUCUCCCUAGCCUCCGCUCUUAGGACGGGGAUCAAGAGAGGUCAAACCCAAAAGAGAUCGCGCGGAUGCCCUGCCUGGGGUUGAAGCGUUAAAACGAAUCAGGCUAGUCUGGUAGUGGCGUGUCCGUCCGCAGGUGCCAGGCGAAUGUAAAGACUGACUAAGCAUGUAGUACCGAGGAUGUAGGAAUUUCGGACGCGGGUUCAACUCCCGCCAGCUCCACCA
This 363-nucleotide transfer-messenger RNA is filed under the name Salmonella enterica. Its description in RNAcentral is "Standard tmRNA". It matches the Rfam family "transfer-messenger RNA". From Rfam's summary of the family: Bacterial tmRNA, also known as 10Sa RNA or SsrA, is named for its dual tRNA and mRNA-like properties. Lineage: Bacteria; Pseudomonadati; Pseudomonadota; Gammaproteobacteria; Enterobacterales; Enterobacteriaceae. The record is from RNAcentral. RNAcentral also lists the same sequence under 3 other names.